RNAcentral lists this ribosomal RNA (329 nucleotides) under uncultured eukaryote. RNAcentral's name for it is "partial 18S ribosomal RNA". It matches the Rfam family "Eukaryotic small subunit ribosomal RNA", at positions 1470 to 1796 of the family's 1831-position model. The record is from RNAcentral.
CCCCUAGAUGUCCUGGGCCGCACGCGCGCUACACUGAGUGUCUGAGAUACGAGUCUGCCUGGUCCGGCAAGGUCUAGGUAAUCGCUAAAAGACACAUCAUGCUUGGGAUAGAUUAUUGCAAAUACUAAUCUUGAACGAGGAAUUCCUAGUAAGCGCAAGUCAACAGCUUGCGUUGAUUACGUCCCUGCCCUUUGUACACACCGCCCGUCGCUACUACUGAUUGGAUGUUUAAGCGAGGUUCUCGAACUGCUAGCGACUUAGCUUCGGUGAGGUCGCAGUGUGGGAAGUGAACCUAGCUUUGGUGUCUAGAGGAAGUAAAAGUCGUAACA